RNAcentral lists this long non-coding RNA (1939 nucleotides) under Marmota monax (woodchuck). The record is from RNAcentral. Lineage: Eukaryota; Metazoa; Chordata; Mammalia; Rodentia; Sciuridae.
GGAUUUCCCCCCCCCCCCCCCCGAUUGGCCCCAGGGAUGGUUCUACAGGAGAGUCCAGGGCCCCGACUCAUCCAGGCCCGGCUCUAGAGCAGGACCUCGCUUCUACAAAAAGGCUGCCAAAUGCCAGACCCGGUCACUACUGCCCAGGUCUCCCACUUGGGUCCAAAUCCCCUCUGGGCCCUUUGUUUAAACCUCACUCAUCCGAGGCGGCCCCUUUGGGACCAUAAGUUGGCCUUUUAAUUUUUCUAGGCUUUUCCUAAUGAGCCUGCAGGAAAGGUGUGUGUGUGGGGGGGGGGGUUCAAGGAACCCCAUUAUCUCCGCAUCUUUCUUUUUUCUUUUCUUUUUAAUUUUUUUUAGGGACUUUCACUUGGCCACACUGCCAAUAAAUCUCGAAAGAUCGUGGGGAGGAAGUAGGGUCAUUAGUAAGCUUCAGAAGUCCCCCUAGACCGGGUACUCAGACCAGCCAGCCCUGCAGAGGUUCCCCGCAAGAGGGGGACCAGGAUUCGAGCACCCUCUUUUUUUUUUUUAACAAAUCAGGAGGCUUGCUCUUUCUGGGGUCCUGGCCUCCUCUUUCACCCCCACUCCACCCCACCCCACCCUCAGUGUCCUCUUCCUGGGCCUCCUUAGGAAGCGGGCUCUGCCCUUCCAGACUGAUUCCUUUGGAGACUAGAGACCGGGGCGGACGGUCUUAGUGGACCUCAACGGCCUGAACCCGAGGCACCUGGGGAGAUUCUAGGUGUCCUUACCCGGUUCCAACCUCCACCUCCUGAGGACAGGGCGGCCACCUGAGACCUGCGGACAAUCCCCCUGCGUUUCUAACCUCCUCCUCCUAACAGCUCGGGUGCUACCCAGAGCCCCUGGCUGAACAGACCCUUGGCAACUGCUAAAUCCGUUUCGUUAGACGCCAUUUGUUUGCAAUUCGUCAACCCUGCUGGGACACGCUCUCCAGACGCCUGGCCAGUCGCCUUCACCCUACCUGGUUCCUGAAUCCUGCUUGCUCUUAAACGAAUCCCAGCGCGGGAUGCUGCGUAGACCCGGAGCCAGAUGUUCCCAACCCCGGACAGAUGUAGCUAUUUUUUUUUUUCUUUUUUCCAAAACCAACGAAAUUUGUUUUUCCUUGCUUGCUUGGGAAAGAUGCAGCCACCAAAUCCGCGGGGACCUUUCCUUUGGCAGCUGGGUCAACUCCGCCCUCCCCAUCCAAGCCUGGCCUCUCCACCGGAGCUGAUUCUAAAGGCCCCCGGGUCCGGCCUCCUCCGCCUCCGGGCUGCAGAUCCCCCGCGCCCCGCGGGGAUUGAAAUGCCACAAAACGGAUUCUGACUCCCUCCCGGCUUGGGACAAGGGGGGGAGAGACUUCCAGAUCGGGCACUGUCCCCCACCUGCACCCCCCCCAGCCACACUGGAUAAAAGGCCGCGGGGUGCGUCACGUGGGGGCGCACGCAGGAGCGAGCCGGGUUAAGCCGCGCAAAGCCGGCGCACGGGACCAGCCGGCAGGUGCAGCCGCCGGCUCAGCGGUCCCCGGCUCUGGCGCAUCGGCUGCAGCGGCCCCGGGGUGAGGGACCCGCCGAGACAAAGGCUCCAUCUCCUGGAACCGGGAGGGGGAGCGCUUCGCGGAGCUCUAGGGAAGGCUGAGCUCUCCAGGCCCUGCGCUCUGAACCAUGGCGAGGCAGGAAGGCCCCAGGCGGGCCUGCUGCUGUCCCCAGGUCUCCAAAAAAAAAAAAUGCACCUGGGGACAGCCAGAUCAGGCCUUGGGAUUUGAAGUUAGAGCCGCUGGCAGAUCCAGGAAGAGCCCCAAACGUAGGGGCCACGGGGCGCAAAGGAUCGGGUGCCAACCCCGGAAUUGGAAAGGCCCGGGACAGGCGGGUGGCCUUGGAGGGAACUUACCCCGGUGAGUCGGUGAGUCGCAGUGCGCGGCGCCCCCAGGCGGAUGGGGUCCGAGCGG